RNAcentral lists this small RNA (69 nucleotides) under Ditylum brightwellii. RNAcentral's name for it is "Mitochondrion-encoded tmRNA". Lineage: Eukaryota; Bacillariophyta; Thalassiosirophyceae; Lithodesmiales; Lithodesmiaceae. The record is from RNAcentral.
UCACCAUGCCAAAACCCACAAUGUUGUCACCUCUUUCUCCUUCCACGUCAGUCUGUCCCACCCCCCAAA